AUUGAACGCUGGCGGCAGGCUUAACACAUGCAAGUCGAGCGGGGUGAUGGUGCUUGCACUAUCACUUAGCGGCGGACGGGUGAGUAAUGCUUAGGAAUCUGCCUAUUAGUGGGGGACAACAUCUCGAAAGGGAUGCUAAUACCGCAUACGUCCUACGGGAGAAAGCAGGGGAUCACUUGUGACCUUGCGCUAAUAGAUGAGCCUAAGUCGGAUUAGCUAGUUGGGGGGAUAAAGGCCUACCAAGGCGACGAUCUGUAGCGGGUCUGAGAGGAUGAUCCGCCACACUGGGACUGAGACACGGCCCAGACUCCUACGGGAGGCAGCAGUGGGGAAUAUUGGACAAUGGGGGGAACCCUGAUCCAGCCAUGCCGCGUGUGUGAAGAAGGCCUUAUGGUUGUAAAGCACUUUAAGCGAGGAGGAGGCUCUUUUGGUUAAUACCCAAGAUGAGUGGACGUUACUCGCAGAAUAAGCACCGGCUAACUCUGUGCCAGCCGCCGCGGUAA
This 503-nucleotide ribosomal RNA is filed under the name uncultured bacterium. RNAcentral's name for it is "partial 16S ribosomal RNA". It matches the Rfam family "Bacterial small subunit ribosomal RNA", at positions 30 to 523 of the family's 1533-position model. The record is from RNAcentral.